Molecule: ribosomal RNA, 253 nt
Filed under: uncultured bacterium
Lineage: Bacteria
Description: partial 16S ribosomal RNA
Rfam family: Bacterial small subunit ribosomal RNA
Source: RNAcentral
UACGUAUGGUGCAAGCGUUAUCCGGAUUUACUGGGUGUAAAGGGAGCGUAGGCGGCGCGUUAAGUCUGAUGUGAAAACCCGAGGCUCAACCACGGGAGUGCAUUGGAAACUGGCGAGCUGGAGUGCCGGAGAGGUAAGCGGAAUUCCUAGUGUAGCGGUGAAAUGCGUAGAUAUUAGGAGGAACACCAGUGGCGAAGGCGGCUUACUGGACGGCAACUGACGCUGAGGCUCGAAAGCGUGGGGAGCAAACAGG